This is an RNA transcript of Ostrea edulis (European flat oyster), 5912 nucleotides long. RefSeq lists it as uncharacterized. The transcript has 6 exons. Lineage: Eukaryota; Metazoa; Mollusca; Bivalvia; Ostreida; Ostreidae. The record is from RefSeq and is a predicted model, not a curated record.
UACACCUGCAGUUAAGCCCUCUAUCUUGACCCGUUGUAUGCAUCAAUAUGUAAAGAACGGAAUACAGUGAGACAGCAUUGCACAUUGUGUUUACCUUGUGUGAUAAGUUAGACUAGAAAGAUAAUAUCUGAAAAUUUCCGUCACAACUAAACGCAGGUGCAUGGAGCUCGUUCAAAGUUAGUGACCAUCUGUUCUACGACCACGACAGGCUACUGUUAACUACGUUGACGUAAUGGGGUUUCAACAAUCUGUUUUCAAGAAGCCAGUUGACAUGAACGAUUUAGGUGAUAACUCAAAUGAAGAAAUUAAUUUAAAGAAGAGAAGAAAAGAAGCUCUAGAAGAACUACUAAAAAGAAUUGGAAAAGAAAACAGACCUUUAAAUAUUGCCAUAAUUGGGACACCAGGUUCUGGAAAAUCGUCAUUUAUCAACACAUUGAUUGCUAGCAUCACUGGUGAAUGGAGAAGCCAUGCAAUGGUUGGGUGUUUCGGCGGACUGGGAUUGCAGAAAACAAAGCAUAUUGCAACGUUGAGUAUAUCUUCCUCUUUUAAAUCUUUAUCAAGGCUGUAAAAUAUUGAACCGGCUAAAUCUGUCUUUGAUGUCUUUCUAAUUAAGACUGUAAAAUAUCAAAUAUAUGAGUUUUCAGUUUUUAAAUGCUUGGAUAGAAAGACGAAGGUAUCCAACAGUGAUCAAUCAAUCCGUGGUCAAAAUCAGUUGUGCAAAAACAGUUUAGUCAAAUGACAUAAAUCACGUCAGACAACAUUCGCUCUAAAGACAAUAUUGUUUGUAAAUUCGAUCGUUGCAAAAAUCAUAUAAUUUGCAAAAUAAUGAAUUGAGAAGAAAUUGUUAAAGCUCCUGCAACGUCAAAUUAUUGUCAACCUCCUGUCUAAGUUGAACAUUGAUCUACGUAGAACAUGCUCCCGCGUAUGGAAUAAGGAAAUAUACAAACCAUAUGCAGGUGUUCAAAGAAUAUUUCUACAUCGAUAUGCCAAGUUGACAACUCAGAAGCUGGAUUCAUCCUGUUUGUCAUAGAGUUGAGUUGUUACGUUGCCGUUAACGUCUAGGUUCAGUAAACAUGUGGGAAAUUUGUUACGUCUAUUAUUUUUAUUUCAUCAGAUUAUAUCAAAUAUAUAAAUAGGAAUUAUAAUGUAUAAUAGGUAAAAAUAUCAUCUAGGGAUUCGUGUUUGUCCUACACUUAAUUUUGUAUUCUUUAUUGGAAUUAUGAGAUUGGUCACUGUUCGUUAUCCUCACCUUUCUAUUUAUGUUAUUGUCGAGAUGAAGGGCACGGCAAGAUAGUUGUUUUUUCACGCACAAGUGUGUGGGAAAAAUCCACCUUAUAAGAAUACGAAACAGGUCAGCUAAUAAUGUAACUAUAUCCCAGACCAUAACCCUCCCUCCACUCCCUGCGUUGAAUGAUGAUGGCGUCAUGCACAACGAUAAGACGGAACACGACCGUCACUGCUGUCGAGAUGAAAUCUCAACUCGUCCGUUAACAGAACUUCUCCCCAAUCUCUGUUAUUAAAACGACUGUGUAUCCUACACCACGCCAACCUCACAACACGGUGACGCCAGAGCAGAACAGCACGGAUAGCAGGACAUCAAGGACGGAUGUUGGCUUCUCGCAAUUUGUUCCUUACGGUACAUGGACUUAUCCGUUGAUACCCAGGGAUGCUUCUAGUGGUCAAAUAUGGCUAUUGAAAUCGGUAACACAAAUGUUUGUAUAUACGUAUCUUACAGACGUGGCGUCACACACGACCGUCCUUACAUUCCUAACGGUGCCAAUAUGCUCAUAUCGUCUCAAUAAAGCAUCAUGCAAGACGUCUCUUAAUCAAAAUUUUCAUCCAAAAACCAAUGUUUUUUUCUCUGCAGUACAUUGGAUACUGUCAAUGAAUGUCCGAAAUUCUAAUCUAUCACUAACCAUGUGUCGCUUAGCUUCGAAACUCCAGAAAAACGUACUGUGAUCAUUAAGGCAAAUCGAAAAUGAUAUUUAACAAAUAGAGUACUCAAACAUGCAUUUAGUUUAUUAAACUAAACCUUUAAGAAUAAAGAGAGAUCGAAGAAUAUUUUUUAGGUUUUUAUUCAAUUUUUAAGUAUACACAGUUUUGUUUUUGCGCUAAUAUAUUAUAGCAUGAUUCAAUCUUAAUAUGAGAUUUUCGAGGUAAGGAUCUACUCUGACUUUUAUUGCGCAUCGAACGUAAUUUGUAGAGCAUGUCACUUCCGGAUUACAAUAACUAAGUAAACAAGCAUGGAGUACUUCAAUUGCUAUCAAGUUCCUGCAUUGACAUUAUAUAUUUCAAAGAAAAGAAUCACUACAACAAUUUAUAGGAAAGUGUAUUUGAUUAAACUAUGUGAGUUGGCGAGAGAAAUAAAUCUAGAGAAUGUAUUGAGGAUACCGAUAAAACUUCAUGCCUUGCAUCCAAGGAUACGCAUCUAAAUGCGCCUUUACCCUUCCAUUUAAUUUACACCCAGGUACUAAGCACCAAGAGUGACUUGGAUUGUCAUCGUGGGACGACUGCUAGCGUAUCACCAUAUUUUUUUUUAUCGAUGUUUCAUUUUUCACAGUAUCUCCCCUUACAAUUGGUUAAUAUCACGUGACCGCGGUGUAUAAACGUCUAUUCUAAUCGGUCGUUCCAGCCCAUCCCGAAAAUUCCGUAUUUAGUAACCCUGUCGUGAACUCUUAAGUGUAAAAUGUCACAAUAAAUGCUGACUCUAAAACCAAGUAUUAAAGGAGAACAUAAAGCAUUUCUCGACUGUAAAUUUAGUCAAGAUGUAUUUUUUUAAUAAAAAGUUAAGUCUAAAGUUUACCCUUUGUAUGAAGCUGAAAACAAUAUUUUCACUAGAGGAAAACUUAUUUACACAUAUACUUUGAUAUCUAACACCUUUACAUCCAUUGAUUUCAUAAUCAAUACAGAGAAUUAUAAAACAUUUCUAAGUAAUCAUGAUGAUGCCGAUAUUUGACUUCUGCUUUGCCAAGAUGAACAGAUAGUUUAUUAUGGAGAUAAUCUUUCCCAAAAAAUUCCUAGUUUAUGAUCCUUCUUAACAUAAAAUAUAGAAUUAUCAUCGGCAUAUAAAAUCAAUAUGCAGUCUUUAAAUACUAAUAGAAAUGCAUUGUAUCAUUGACAUGAAUCAAAAUGCUCCCCUGAGGUACUCCACAUUUUAUAGAAUUAUAAUUAGAGGUUACAUUGUUGACACUGUUGUUGUCUACCAGAUAGUUGUAAAAUAAAUCACUCAGUGGAUAAAACUUCUAAGAUCUUAAAGUCAAAUAAGAUUUCAUGGUCAACAGUGUCAAUGCUUUAUGUAAGUUCAACAUCACCAUACCAAUAGAAACCCCUAUAGGAUAGAUUACGCUUCUUAUAAAAUCUAGCAUUUGCAUCAAAUAAGUAUCUGUAGAAAAAUGGUUUCUAAAACAUGAAUGGUAACAAUAUAACCAAUGAUUACUGUUCAAAAAUUGUAAAUCUUUGACUUUAUGCAUAGUACAUAAAGAAACCUAUAAUUGUCAGCUUCCAGGCAACAUCCCUUUUCAAAAAGAGAUUUCACCCCUGCGGUUUUAAAUGAGAGGAGAAGAUCAUAGAUAUACCCUUUCUCUGAUGUUAAAGAAAAAUUAGAAUAAUAAACCUAACAAAUUAUACUUCUAAACAAUUAUAUACCUCAAAUCAUGACAAUGUUUCAUUUUUCACAGUAUCUCCCCUUUCAUUUGCACCCAGUUACUGGGUCUAGGUGUUACGUAUUUAUGUAUUAUGAGAAAGUCAAGUCUCAUUCAUUGUAUUUCCAUAUAAACAUUUUCUAAAUGAUUAAUACAUUUAGAUGGAAAGCAGUAUAUAUUGUUCUAAGCUAUUGAUCUCAUUGUCUACGAAAUUUGUACUCAAAGUUGGACUGUUAGUAUGAUAGCAAUUCUUCUUCAAGAAUCCUGACUGGAGAAGAUGGACGACUAAUUUUAACUCCCAACGUAAAUCAGUCCACAAAAGUUACAUUAAACUGCUUGGAAAACGGUAGAAGAUUUACAAGUAAAAAAAAAGUUUUGGUAUUGAAAUUUCUUGAGAGAGAUUACUUAUUAUUCAAUUUCCAGUGGUUAAUAAAUCACCAUUUUACAGUUUUUGACAAACCAUUUAGGUAUAUAGCACAUGUGAAAAAAGAAUCAUUGAAAAUUCAAUGAUAAAUCCCGCCACUGGAUAUUUUAGCAUGUAAUAACGAAUUAACAGAUAAAACGUACAUAAACAAGCAGGACUGGGUUUUAUUGUGAAACCCGAAUUUCUAUAAUAAUAAUAAUAAUAAUGAUUGGUUUUAUAUAGCGCCUUAUCCAGCGUAUGCUGCUCAAAGCGCUUUACAAUUAUCAAUGUACAUUAUUACCCCGGCAGACCUUCUAUCAAUCUAGAACUUUCUCAGCCUCCUAGGAAGCAUACAGUUCAAGCUGCCAUUACAAGCGCUAGAGCACUAGCAUAUGUCUAUAGCCAGGUACCCCUUUUACACUUGGGUGGAGUGAGGAAAUUCAUGUAAAGUGCCUUUCCCAAGGACACAACGUCAGCCCUGCCGCGGCCAGGACUCGAACCCACGACCUUUCGGUCGAGAGUCUGACGGCCUAACCACUCGGCCACCGACGCCAGUGUAGUAGUCAAAAUCAGUGUGCCAAGAACGGCCUAACAAUCGGUAUCAAACACGUCAGACAGCAUUUGACCCAAUUAUAGUUUGUAUUGACGAACUAGAUCGUUAUGACGACCAUAGAAUUUGCGAAAUGUUGACUUCACUCGAGGCUGUUGAAACCUCUGUACCAUCAACUUGUUUGUCAGUAGCUUGCCUCGAUUCAAAACUUGACAAUACGCAGAACAAGCUCUUGCGUAUCGAAUCAGUUGAGAGAUAUAAACACCAUAUGCAGGUGAUUAUGGAAUAUUGCUACAUAAAUAUUGGAAGUUGACAAUGGAGAAGCUGAAAUCAUUCUGUUUGUCAUACAGUUGAGUUGUCAGUUUGCCGUUAAUGUCUACUUUCAAUAAAAUAUCUAAGUAUGAAGCAAAAGUGGACGACUCUGUAGUGUCUUUUAUUUCGAGCUCACAGGGAUAUAUCGAAUUGACAUAUGAAUGUCUAAUUUUUUCAAAGGGAGUGACAUUGGAGUGACAUUGGAACUUAUCAAUUUUUAGAAAUACAUAGUAUGAUAUUGCAUUUUCUAUUCUUAGAUAUCGAAAGGAAAAAUAUUUGAAACAUGCAAAAGAUGUUAAACACCUGAUGAAAUUUAACUUUCCGGCGAUUUUGGACAUGUCAGGCAUUGAUGAUGCCAAUGAUAGAGACACCAAAAUGCUAUUGGAUUUAGUAUUUUCUGGUCGGAUCCCAGAAAAUAGCAAAAUUUCUGAUAUUCUGCAAAACAUAAGGCAAAAUGAGGAGGAGCUUAACAAUCUAUAUCCACUCGCUAAAUCAAAUAUCAGAGUCGACAGAAUUAUCUUUCUUGUUUCUGCUGCAAACCCAAGUCUACCAGAGAACCUUAUGCAAGCUGUUCACAGUUCCAGUACAUCAAGACGAAGAGAUUUUGGACCCAUCUAUCACAGUUACUGAAUAUAAGAGAGCCACAUUAAACCAAGUGGAUGCUGGUGGAAUUCUCAUGCUUGCGUUUGUGAUUUUGAUGAUAGCCAUCUUCAUAAUGCUGUUUGGAAAAUGAAUGAAUAGAAAAAGAUCAUUUUCCAUAUAAAUGGUGGAAAUCUAAUACCGGUACCCAAACAUUGAAAACAACUAUUAGUAAAUUGGAAACCACUGUGUCUUAUUGUUUCAUUUUCUUGUUGGUGUAUAUUCUUUAUCUAAGGUGUACGAGUAUGAUUGUUAACGGGUUUCUUGUGUAAUGUUCUACAUUUUCUUUAAAGUGUGUGAGUGUUUUGUGUUAAUGACUGUAUUGUUUAAAGUUCUACGUUGUUUUUGUAAAUAAACUUAUUUCUGA